UACGGGGGGGGCAAGCGUUGUUCGGAAUUACUGGGCGUAAAGGGCUCGUAGGCGGCCAACUAAGUCAGACGUGAAAUCCCUCGGCUUAACCGGGGAACUGCGUCUGAUACUGGAUGGCUUGAGUUCGGGAGAGGGAUGCGGAAUUCCAGGUGUAGCGGUGAAAUGCGUAGAUAUCUGGAGGAACACCGGUGGCGAAGGCGGCAUCCUGGACCGAUACUGACGCUGAGGAGCGAAAGCCAGGGGAGCAAACAGG
RNAcentral lists this ribosomal RNA (253 nucleotides) under uncultured bacterium. RNAcentral's name for it is "partial 16S ribosomal RNA". It matches the Rfam family "Bacterial small subunit ribosomal RNA", at positions 524 to 776 of the family's 1533-position model. The record is from RNAcentral.